GGGGAAACUGAGGUCCAGCUUGGCCAUGAUAGGGGCCGGGAUCGAAGCCUGUGAGGGACCCUUACGGUAGGGGUGAUGCAGGGUGAGGAGAUGAGGGCUUUAAGGAGCGGGCUUGGGAGUGGGGAAGGAGCUGGAACGUGGGUGGGUUCGAUUACAGGUCACCUCGGGGACUCUGGGGGGAUCUGCCUGUAAACCUCGACGUAGCCUCUCGGGUCUGGCGCUGGGAGCUUCACGGGCCUGCAGGGAGAUGACACGGAAAGGGUCGAUCGAGGGUGCUGAAUACCAGUCCAACGGUGCCUGAAGGCCGUGGACUGCAAUGGGCAAGGAGACAGUGAAUUCCAGUUAACUAACGAAAAGGAACUCAAGGAUCGCUGCAACCCAGGAGCUGGAGGCUGCAGUGAGCUAUGAUCGAGCCACCUCACUUCAGCCUGGGCGACAGAGCGAGACUCUGUCUCACAAAAAGAAAAUAAAUAAAAAAAGAAAAAGAACUCAGCGCCUUUGGGCUGGCAUGGAAGGACUGUGGUUGGUUGCAAGGGCAUUCCAACCCAGAAAACUGCGUGGGGUAGGAAGGUGGAUUGGUGAUGCCUCAGCCGACACACGGGGGACUCCCAGUUUUAAUGUUUCCCGUGGGAGGGCCCCAGGAGCAGGAGGAGAUAGUGCCAAUCUCAGGAGGGGUCUGAGCUGGAGUCGGUGGCUGGAAGUAAAGCAUUGGAAGGGGCUGAGGUCCCUGGAGGGAAGAACAGAGAAAGACAGCGGCCCACAGUGAGUGGCAGCCCAGGGUGUGAGGAGCCUGGAGAUGGAAGAGGAAGAGGAGACAGGCCACAGAGCCCAGGGCUGAGUUCUGGUGGCCUCCGAAGUCCUCACUGGGUGACUCCGGCCAGAACCUCCACACCUCCUGCCCAUGAUAGUUAUGGUACCUUCCUCUUGGGGCUGUCCUGGGGAUGAAACUAGAUAAUCCAUGUAAAAUGUUCAGUGCCACAGAUGCAAAUACUGGCUAUUUCAUUGGCGAA
Molecule: long non-coding RNA, 1010 nt
Filed under: Homo sapiens (human)
Lineage: Eukaryota; Metazoa; Chordata; Mammalia; Primates; Hominidae
Description: HSALNT0126635
Source: RNAcentral